AUACGGAGGAUCCGAGCGUUAUCCGGAUUUAUUGGGUUUAAAGGGUGCGCAGGCGGCCAUUUAAGUCAGCGGUUAAAUCGUGGGGCUCAACCCCAUUCUGCCGUUGAUACUGGGUGGCUUGAUUGCGGUCGAGGUUGGCGGAAUUCGUUGUGUAGCGGUGAAAUGCAUUGAUAUGACGAAGAACACCGAUUGCGUAGGCAGCUGACCAGACCGCAAAUGACGCUCAUGCACGAAAGUGCGGGGAUCGAACAGGAUUAGAUACCCUGGUAGUCCGCACAGUAAACGAUGAAUACUUGUUUUCGGCGAUAUAAUGUCGGAGGCAAAGCGAAAGCGAUAAGUAUUCCACCUGGGGAGUACGCCGGCAACGGUGAAACUCAAAUGAAUUGACGGG
This 391-nucleotide ribosomal RNA is filed under the name uncultured bacterium. Its description in RNAcentral is "partial 16S ribosomal RNA". It matches the Rfam family "Bacterial small subunit ribosomal RNA", at positions 523 to 917 of the family's 1533-position model. The record is from RNAcentral.